Molecule: long non-coding RNA, 6238 nt
Filed under: Sus scrofa (pig)
Lineage: Eukaryota; Metazoa; Chordata; Mammalia; Artiodactyla; Suidae
Description: lncRNA (ENSSSCG00050077303.1)
Source: RNAcentral
ACAAAAAGAAAAUAAAUGAAUAAAUAAAAAAUAGAAAAAUUGUUUAAUUUAAUUGUGCUCCUAUAAAUCCUUUUUCUUUUCUCCAAAUCUUACCCUACUCCAUUAUCACUUUGGCUUCUUAUUGCAUCUCAUUUUUUCUCUAUUUUUGCAUUAUGAAUUGCAACCUAAGCCUUUCCACAGUUUGUCAGAAGCCAUGCCUUAUAACCUAUGGAGGAUACUACAGGAUGUUCUAGCAUUUUUGUCUGAUCCCCAUAUUAAGCAUGUAUCUGCGUUUGUUUUCAGAGUGAUUUUCACAUUCCCUUAAGCUGGAGCACAGUUUCACAAGCACCAUUUGGGUUCUUUGGAUCACUUUCUUCAAACUAGGAAAACUCUAUCUAGACCACUCCCAUUAUUUUGAAAUUCAUGGAAAACCAAUGACAACAGGAUUACUGAUUGAUUUUGCAGUUGUGUUUUUCUCAAUUUUAUAGUUAUUUUAUUGGGUGUGUUUUUAUAGAUAUUUUAUUGCGUGGUUGGAAGAAAUUUUAUUAAAGGCUCUUAGAUAAAGCCCAUUCUAAAUCAGAAGCUACCUAAACAAAAUGUCUGCAUUUUUGAAUGACCAAUUUUAGCAGUAUCUACCAAGAUAUUUCUGUUGAGGAGGAAUAUUUGCACUGUCAGAAUUUUAUCUGAAAUUCCUGUACUCCAGAGUCAGAAAAAAGAAUGCCAAGCAAUAGUUUACAUUUCAUAGGAUAAUUAAAGCAAGAAAUAUGGUAUUUCUUCACAAAAAAAAAAAAUUAUGAAGAUAGAUAGUGGCCUGGAAACCAGUGAGGCUGAUUGCAAAAUGAAUAUUUAAAAGCCCUUCUGAUUUAAUGUGCUCUUGUUUCCAUUCCCUUUAUUCUUUACAAAGAACAAAGAGCCCUCUGUAAAUAUUGCUUUUAGGAUUAUCAGGCUUUAGUUUUCAAUUUUAUCCAAAGGCCAUAAUUUAAACCAUAUUAUUGGCUUUAGAAAUGUAAACAGUGAUAGAACCCUUUUCCUUUAACUAAUAGGAAUGCCAAAGAAAUUAGAGUCAAUUAAAUAAUUGCUUAUUAACCUAAUGUAUUACUGCUGUGAGAUGUGUUGUGGCCCAUCCAGCCAGGAGGGGAGCUAGGAAGGAACAAAACUACAUCAAUGUAAAGAAUAUAGAAACCAGUAUAUUAUAAAAACUUGAUCCAAUGAAGAGUAAAACAUUUACGGAAAUUUUUAUGUAUCAGUUUCAUUCUUUAUAGUUUAACUAUGGUUGAAGAUGGGAAAAUCCUAAGAGAUUGUAAAGGUUUUCAAUUGAUUAAGAUGAUCUUUAAUGUGGACAGAUUAUGUCUACAGGUUAGGUUUAAGCUGACUUUUCUCAUCCCUCUGCCUUCCAGACACCAGCUAUAGGGAACUGCCUUCAUCUCUAUAACCUGAAAUCUAGUUGCAUUUCUUUAAUAGCUCUUCAUUAGUGACACUCCACUGUUGACAGGAUGACAUUUUAAACUCUUCAUCAAUAUGCACAAAUCUGUUUAUGAUUCGAUUCUUGCUUCCAUAUCCAGUCUCAUCUUCCACCAUGCUUCUUCCAUCCUACCCUUCAGUAAUAGCUCUCCCCGCAGACUCUGCUGCCUCACAUUCAUCCUUCCUUGUACAUGUCAGAGAAUAGAUAAUGAUUCCCCUUGAAUUACUGAUCUUUCAGGAUAUGUUAAGUAUUCCAUCUUUCACCAAGUUUUCUUUGUCCACUUCUGUCUCCAGAUUUCUCCUCUGCUUCCCUGGGCAAGUUAUCCCAUUUUUUCCUUUAUGGUGAUACAGAGGUGUGUGAUUACUGACUUCUAAAGCUAUAUACCUUGAGAGAUUAUUUGCAAUCAUUUUUUAAACUUCUGUAUUCCCUACCAUGUUUUCCCCUGCCUUUUUGAGGGCAGGACUGUAUUUAUUAUCUCAGUGAUUUCAGAACCUGGUGAAAGACCUGUUAAUACCACUCAGCAAAUACUUGGGAAUGAACAAACGAAUAGGUAGGUAGCACUAUGGUAUCUCUACGAAGGUGUAGAGCAGGUUCUCAGGACUUAAAAGCUUUUUUGGAGCUCAGCUCUCUCUUGCUCUGCCCCAGGUGUUCUCUUAUACCACAGUACAGAAUAGUAAGAAGAACUUUGUUUUAUUUUUUUCUGACCCAAGGUCAGACUAUACCAAAAGUAUGGUCAGAGUUGGCUACUUUGGAAAACAUUAUGGAUGUUAUUGAUGGAAGGAAGGAAGGAAGGGAAGAAAGAAGCAAGGGGAAAAGGAUUACCAUGCAUUGGGUUCUAUAUUAUCCCUUCCAUGUAUAUUAUCUAAUUUAAUCCUAAAACAUCCAUUCAGAUAAUAAAUAUUAUUAUCCCCAUUUUCAGAAUUAAGUAAACCAGGAUUUUUUUUCCUUUAUGGCCACACCCACAGUAUAUGGAAGUUUCCAGCUAGAAGGCGCAGCUGCUGGCCUGUGCUACAGCCACAGCAACGCCAGAUCUGAGAUGCAUCUGUGACCUCUACCACAGCUUGUGGCAACACUGGAUCCUUAACCCACUGAGCAGGGUCAGGGAACAAUCCUAUAUCCUCAUGGAUACUAGUCAGGUUCUUAACCCACUGAGCCACAGUGGGAGUUCUAUAAACUGGGAUCUUUAAAUGUAAUUUGUACCAGGCCACAUAGCUGUCCAGUGGCCAAGCUAGAAUUUAAAUUUAGAAUGAGUCAACUCAGUUAAAACUCAGUGCUUUUCUUAGAAUAUGGGAACUAAAUAAGAUUUAAUUCUACAAAAUGACCCAUCCUGUGAUUAUCCUAAACUCAAUGCAGUUUUGUUUUUCAACAUUAAACAGUAGGAUUCAGAAAUAUUUGCCUAUCAUUUCAAUCAUACUAAGCUUCAUUUGGUAGUCAUUCAUUUGUUGGACGUUAACUAAGCCCAAGCACCCAGCUGAAUACUUGGAAUACAAGUAUGCCUAGGACGUAGUCCCUGAACUCAAGGUUUUUUUGCACUUUUCUUAGAAGAAUUCUCACUCUGGAAAGUCAACUUACUUGCCAGGUUUAUGGUUUCUCUACUUUCUCUUCUGCCUAUAGACAAAUUCACCAGCCACAUAAAUAUGCACCUCAUACCCUUAAUAUUAGAAUGUUUUAUCUGCUUUCUGUUCUUAGUCUGAAAGGAAGGCUUACUAUCUCUCCAUGGUCAACAAAAAUCUCCUGUUCUUUACAUAUGAAAAUAUUAAAGACACUGAGGUGCAUAUUUUUGUACUAUUAUCAUAUAAAUUAUAUUAAAGAGGAGUGAAAUUAAUGUUACAAACUACUAAUAUGUGUGUGUACAUAUAUAUAAUAUAUAUAUAUACAUGUCCAUGUUUAUGCAAAUAGUCUUUAUAAAGUAUUAGACUAAAUGCACAAAUUAGAGGAAACAAUCUUUAGUAUCUCAUUAAGUCAUUUUAUCUUAAGUUUGUAUCCCUUUAAAGCAUCCUUUUAUCUUAACUUUGUACCUUCUGUAUUUUGUCUGUGAAGAAUCCACAACUCAGAUUGACUUCCCCAAAUGAAAACCUGGUAAUUGGGUAUCAGUUAUCUAUUGUGUAACAAACCACCUUAAAACUUAAUGAAUUAAAUUACACCAUUUUUUAUUUCAUACUACUCUCUAGAAGUUCUGCUUGUACUGCCUAGACCCACUGAUGUGGCUGCUGACACUGUUAGCUAUCUGGGUGGGCGGGGCCACUCUAUACAUGUGGCCUUUCAUACCAGUCUUCUUCAUGGUAGUUUCAGGGUUCCAAGAGGACAGCCCCAAUACAAAAGUAUUUACCAAGGUUCCACUCUCAUUAUAUUUACUGAUGUACUUUGGCCAAAGCAAGUCAUGUAGCCAAGCCUAGAGUCAGUGUGGGAUCCUGGGAGUUGUGAUUAAUUGAGAGACCAUUAAUAUAACAAUCUACCACAUUCAGUAUCUUUUAUUAAAGGAAUAAAGUAUAGUUGAUUUACAGUGUUGUGCCAAUUUCUACUGUACAGCAAAGUGACUCAGUCAUAUAUAUAUAUAUUAAAAAGAAUGUGUGUAUAUGUAUAUUCUUUUUAAAAUAAUAUCUUCCAUCAUGGUCUAUCCCAGGAGAUUGGAUAGAGCUCCCUGUGCUAUUCAGUGGGACCUUACUGCGUAUCCAUUCUAAAUGUAAUAGUUUUUGUCUACUAACCCCAAAUUUUCAGUCCAUCCCACACCCUCCACCCUGCCCCUUGGGUCUAUUCUCUUAUGUCUGUUUCUUUUUGUAGAUAGGUUUAUUUCUGUUAUAUUUUAAAUUCCACAUAUAAGCGAUACUGUAUGGUAUUUGUCUUUCUCUUUCUGAAUUACUUCAUUUAGUAUGAGAAUCUCUAGUCACAUCCAUGAUGUUGCAAAUGGCAUUAUUUUGUUCUUUUUUAUGGCUGGGUAUUAUUCCAUUGUAUAUAGGCACCAUAUUUCCUUAAUCCAUUCUUCUGUCAAUGUACAUUUUUGUUUUCAUGUCUUGGCUAUUGUGAAUAGUGCUGCAGUGAACAUAAGGGUGCAUGUAUCUUUUUGAAUUACAGGUUUGUGUGGAUAUAUGCCCAGGAGUGGUAGUUCUAUGUUUACUUUUCUGAGGAACUUUCAUACUGUUUUCCAUAAUGGCUGUACCUAUUUACAUUUCCACCAACCCUGUAGGAGGGUCCUCUUUUCUCCAUACCCUUCUCCAGCAUUUGUUAUUUGUAGACUUAUUGAUGAUAGCCAUUCUGACUGGUGUGAGGUGAUACCUCAUUGUAGUUUUGAUUUGUAUUUCUCUAGUGAUUGGUAGUGUUGAUCACUUUUCAUGUGCCUACUAGCCAUCAGUAUGUCUCUUUGGAAAAAUGUCUGUUAGGGUCUUCUAUCCUUUUUUCAAUUGGGUGGUUUUUUGUUGUGGUGGUUGAGUUGUACUGAGUUGUUUGUACAUUUUGGAGAUUAAGCCCUUGUCCAUUGCAUCAUUUACCACUAUUUUCUCCCAUUCCAUAGAUUGUCUUUUCAUUUGUUUUAAUGGUUUCCUUUGCUGUGAAAAAUCCUAUAAGUUUGAUUAGGUCCCAUUUGUUUAUUUCUGUUUUUAAUUUAUAUUGCCUUGGGAGACUAACGUAAGGAAACAUUUGCAUGGUUUAUGUCAUAGAAUGUUUUGCCUAUGUUCUCCUCAAGGAGUUUUAUGGUGUCAUGUCUUAUGUCUAAGUCACUGAGCCAUUUUGAAAUUAUUUUUGUGUAUAGUGUGAGGGUGUGCUCUAAUUUCAGUUACUUACUUAUUUAUUUAUUUAUUUAUUUAUUUUCUCUGACUUACUUGACAUUUUUAUUUAUUUACUUAUUUUUAACUUUUUUUUACUACUCAAUGAAUUUAUCACACCUGUAGUUGUAUAAUGAUCAUAAAAAUAUGAUUUCGCAGGAUUUCCAUCCCACAGCCCAAGAACACCCCCCACCCCCCAAACUGUCUCCUCUGGAGACCAUAAGUUUUUCAAUGUCUGUGAGUCAGCAUCUGUUCUGCAAAGAAAUUCAGUCUGUCCUUUUUUCAGAUUCCACAUGUCAGUGAAAGCAUUUGAUGUUGGUGUCUCAUUGUAGGGCUGACUUCACUAAGCAUGAGAGUUUCUAGGUCCAUCCAUGUUGCUAAGAAUGCCGGUAUUUCGUUCUUUUUAAUGUCUGAGUAAUAUUCCAUUGUGUACAUGUACCACAUCUUCUUGAUCCACUCCUCUGUCAAUGGACAUUUAGGUUGUUUCCAUGUCUUGGCUAUUGCAAAUAGUGCUGCAAUGAACAUUGGAGUACAUGUGUCUUUGCGAGUCAUGGUUUUCUCUGGAUAGAUGUCCAGGAGUGGGAUUGCUGGAUCAAGUGGUAGUUCUAUUUUGAGUUUUCUGAGGAAUCUCCAUACUGCUUUCCACAGUGGUUGUACCAAUUUACAAUNCUUUCUCCAUUCAACACUAAACCAGCCUUACAACAAAUACUAUCGUUUCAUUGAUUUAUAUGCAGUUGUUCAGUUUUGCCUAUACUACUUGCUGAAGAGUCUGUCUUUUUCUCAUUUUAUAUUCUUGCCUUCUUUGUUGAAGAUUUAUUGUAGAUAUCUGGGUUUAUUUCUGGGCUCUCUAUUCUGUUCCAUUGAUCUGUAUAUUUGUUUUUGUACCAGUACCACCCUAUCUUGAUUACUGUGGCUUUAUGAUAUUGUCUAAAGUCUGGGAGAGUUAUGCCCCCUGCUUUUUACACCCUCAGGAUUGCUUUGGCAAUUCUGGGUCUUUUGUGGUUCCCUAUAAAUUUGUGGAUUGUUUGUUGCAGUUCUG